This 713-nucleotide ribosomal RNA is filed under the name uncultured Enterobacteriaceae bacterium. RNAcentral's name for it is "bacterial SSU rRNA". It matches the Rfam family "Bacterial small subunit ribosomal RNA", at positions 788 to 1502 of the family's 1533-position model. Lineage: Bacteria; Pseudomonadati; Pseudomonadota; Gammaproteobacteria; Enterobacterales; Enterobacteriaceae. The record is from RNAcentral.
UGGUAGUCCACGCUGUAAACGAUGUCGAUUUGGAGUUUGUUGCCUAGAGUGAUGGGCUCCGAAGCUAACGCGAUAAAUCGACCGCUGGGGAGUACGGCCGCAAGGUUAAAACUCAAAUGAAUUGACGGGGGCCCGCACAAGCGGUGGAGCAUGUGGUUUAAUUCGAUGCAACGCGAAGAACCUUACCUGGUCUUGACAUCCAUAGAAUUCUGCAGAGAUGUGGGAGUGCCUUCGGGAACUAUGAGACAGGUGCUGCAUGGCUGUCGUCAGCUCGUGUUGUGAAAUGUUGGGUUAAGUCCCGCAACGAGCGCAACCCUUAUUCUUUGUUGCCAGCGAUUUGGUCGGGAACUCAAAGGAGACUGCCGUUGAUAAAGCGGAGGAAGGUGGGGACGACGUCAAGUCAUCAUGGCCCUUACGACCAGGGCUACACACGUGCUACAAUGGCGUAUACAAAGGGAAGCGAAGGUGCGAGCUGGAGCGGAUCUCAUAAAGUACGUCUAAGUUCGGAUUGGAGUCUGCAACUCGACUCCAUGAAGUCGGAAUCGCUAGUAAUCGUAGAUCAGAAUGCUACGGUGAAUACGUUCCCGGGCCUUGUACACACCGCCCGUCACACCAUGGGAGUGGGUUGCACCAGAAGUAGAUAGCUUAACCGCGAGGGGGGCGUUUACCACGGUGUGAUUCAUGACUGGGGUGAAGUCGUAACAAGGUAACCA